GCGUCUACUAGAGCCAAUUCAAUAGUCAUCAGACUGGUUGGUGCGUCAUUCUGGGAGUGCAUUUCUGCUGUCUUGCCUUCUCCUGUUCAGAAAUAAGGCCUAUGUCAGAUGGCUUCAUUGUAACUAUGGUAGAGAAGGAUGUGCCUUUUAACUGUUAACCGGUUUGUAUGGUGUUGUACAGUUCAAGUCAAAACUAUCAAAUAUGUAGGAUAGUUAUGAAUAUAAGCAGUACAUUAACUAUGCAAACCUUUCAAGCCUUCCCCUCUGGUUUACUCUCUUGAAUUUUGACUUAUGAUUUGUCAUCUGUCUAACAUUUUUGUGUGCUACAUCUUAACUGUUAAUAUUUAGCAAAAUAAUAGAUGUGAUAUAUAUUGUUUUAAUUCUUAACAAUAUUUAGUGCCCAAAUAGGUAAUAUAUUUCCACUAUCAUUCUCCCAGAAUGCCAAACCUUUUUUUUUUUGUCCUUCUGUUUCUGAAAAACCCAUUGUUUGCAGGGAAUGGCAUGCAGGCCUAAUACUCAUCGACCAAGCUUUCAUGUAAACAUGGUUGGUUUGGAUAAGCCAGGGCGGAGAUCAAACUGCUCUAGUUGUUCAUGGGGGUUGGAUGCUGAGAUGAUUGUGGGUGAUGAUCAAUUUGAUCUAUGGCUUCAGCAGGUCUUGGCAUCUGGUGUCUUUUCUGAGACUCCCAAACGUAGAAAAAGUUGGAGCCUGUUUAAGAUACAUCAGAAAGGUUUGAAACAAUGGCGGAGAUUCCAAUGAAUGCAAUUUAAGACUAGAACACGGUUAUAUCUUCAUCAGAGAAGAUCUUAUAUAUCCGAACUUAAAAGAAAGGAAGAAAAACAUGACACCAAAAGAAUCAUGUGCCUGUAAAUAGAUCAAAGCAUCUCUUCUAGGUCUGCAGGUCUCUCCAAUUGGGAAGGGGGAAAAGGAAAAACAAAAGGUAGCAGUAUAACAGCUCUGAAAUCGUGAGCUCUUAUCCAAGAGGAGCUAAUUUAUGCCCUUAUCAUGAAUAGUGCAGUAGCAAGGACUGCUGCUUUAAUGUAUCCAUUCCUAGAAAAUUUUACGGUUAACACCAAUUUAUGGCUUCAACCCCCAUAGUUCUGAUAUCUGGCCUCUUCCUUGAGGCCUUGAAAUGUGGAAAUGGCUGUCUGUCUCUGAUGCGCCAGAAGAAGGGCAUGGAAUCUUGCAUAGUUGGAUGGUGGACAUGCAGAAUAUGAACUAUGGGGUGCAUAGGGUCUGUUUCCUCCCAUCUUUUGAGGAGAAAUAAAGAAAAAGGAAUCAUAGUUAAGAAAAGAAAGGGACGAUGUGUAUAUAGAUGAAAGGCAUGUCAUGAAGGUAAGCAAUGGUUUUUCAAAAAUAUUGUACAAUAAGAUGACCAGGUGAACACAAUAUAAAUUUCAGGUCUGUCGGGCAAAGGGCCUCGAUCGAGCUUGUAAGGAAUUACCAGUGAUCGAAGUUUCAAGUGGGGCUCUUCACCUGUUCAUGCUUUCUUACCAUUUGCAUUGUAACAUUUGUUUAUUCUAAACAAUGAUCUGCAUGUUCCAUAUUAAAAGAAAAUUAUAAGAGUAAUGAUGUUUUUUCCUUUAAUUUUCUAUAUGAGGCCAAGCAUCUUUCUAUUCCCAUGUGGUAAUUCAUGUUUGUGAUGAACGGGCACAAGAUCUCUUCGACCAUAGAACCCUUUUAGUUUAUUUUUCAAGGAAAAGAGCCUCCAAUUUGUCAAAUGGCAGAUGUUUUAAAACCAGAGUGGCUGGUCUGUUCUCUCUUCAGCAAGUUUUCUAAAGCUAAUACCCAUGCUGUUUUGGUGGAUGACUGGUACCAAUAUGAACAAAGAUUGAUUUAUUUCAUUUGACAUAGCAAAGAAAAGAUUAAUAACUACACUGAGUUUAAUUUCAAAAUAGGAAAAUACAGAUAAAAAUUCUCAAAAGAUAUGUGCAUAAUUAAAAAGUUGUUAGCUUAUAUUGGCUCAGAUAAAAGGGUUCAUAUAUUCAUUGUAUUCGUAAUUGCCAGGCUGAGAAAAUAAAAAACCUUGCUCCUUAGUGCUGCCAGGCUAAAAUAGCUUUUUUUUCUUUUUUUUUGGGUAAAAGCAGGCUAAAAUAGUCUGAAGCUUGUUCUCAUAAGACUUGAAAAAGGAAAUUAGCUACUGUACUUAGGAAUUGUAGCAGUAGCAAUGAAACUUCUUUGUUAGGAUAAUAUAUUGCCGCAACAAUUCAUAGAGCUAAUCAAAUCAAACUUACAUUCAAAUUCCAAGAUCCUUGAGGUUUGCACUUCUCUUCCCAUUGGACCUGGCACUCGUUUGAAGUCAAAUUUCAGAGAUCAGUUUGAACAAGCUUGCUCUCCAUUAGCCAACCAAGGCACCUUUUCCAACUUUUUGAGGCCCUAGGCCACAAACGUAAGCCAUUA
This 2398-nucleotide long non-coding RNA is filed under the name Elaeis guineensis (African oil palm). RNAcentral's name for it is "long non-coding RNA (EGUI_LNC014166)". Lineage: Eukaryota; Viridiplantae; Streptophyta; Magnoliopsida; Arecales; Arecaceae. The record is from RNAcentral.